Small nucleolar RNA from Choloepus hoffmanni (Hoffmann's two-fingered sloth), 130 nucleotides. The record is from Ensembl. Lineage: Eukaryota; Metazoa; Chordata; Mammalia; Pilosa; Megalonychidae.
CCUUUCCUGUGCCCUUUUAAGGUUGAUUCAGUGCUUUAAGAGGCUAACACAGAAGGGUAAAGUAAGUCUCCAUAAAACUCAGAGAGGAGGUUGUAAAACUCGUCUUUGGAUCCUGUCUGGAGACACAGUU